UAGCUAGUUGGUGAGGUAACGGCUUACCAAGGCGACGAUCUGUAGCGGGUCUGAGAGGAUGAUCCGCCACACUGGAACUGAGACACGGUCCAGACUCCUACGGGAGGCAGCAGUGGGGAAUUUUGGACAAUGGGGGCAACCCUGAUCCAGCCAUGCCGCGUGAGUGAAGAAGGCCUUCGGGUUGUAAAGCUCUUUCGGCCGGGAAGAAACCGCAUGGGCCAAUACCCUGUGUGGAUGACGGUACCGGAAUAAGAAGCACCGGCUAACUACGUGCCAGCAGCCGCGGUAAUACGUAGGGUGCGAGCGUUAAUCGGAAUUACUGGGCGUAAAGCGUGCGCAGGCGGUUUUGUAAGACAGGCGUGAAAUCCCCGGGCUCAACCUGGGAACUGCGUUUGUGACUGCAAGGCUAGAGUACGGCAGAGGGGGGUGGAAUUCCACGUGUAGCAGUGAAAUGCGUAGAGAUGUGGAGGAACACCAAUGGCGAAGGCAGCCCCCUGGGUCGAUACUGACGCUCAUGCACGAAAGCGUGGGUAGCAAACAGGAUUAGAUACCCUGGUAGUCCACGCCCUAAACUAUGUCAACUAGGUGUUGGGUGGGUAAAACCAUUUAGUACCGUAGCUAACGCGUGAAGUUGACCGCCUGGGGAGUACGGCCGCAAGGUUAAAACUCAAAGGAAUUGACGGGGACCCGCACAAGCGGUGGAUGAUGUGGAUUAAUUCGAUGCAACGCGAAAGACCUUACCUACCCUUGACAUGCCAGGAACUUGCCAGAGAUGGCUUGGUGCCCGAAAGGGAGCCUGGACACAGGUGCUGCAUGGCUGUCGUCAGCUCGUGUCGUGAGAUGUUGGGUUAAGUCCCGCAACGAGCGCAACCCUUGUCGUUAAUUGCCAUCAUUUAGUUGGGCACUUUAGCGAGACUGCCGGUGACAAACCGGAGGAAGGUGGGGAUGACGUCAAGUCCUCAUGGCCCUUAUGGGUAGGGCUUCACACGUCAUACAAUGGUCGGUACAGAGGGUCGCUAAGCCGCGAGGUGGAGCCAAUCCCAGAAAGCCGAUCGUAGUCCGGAUUGCAGGCUGCAACUCGCCUGCAUGAAGUCGGAAUCGCUAGUAAUCGUGGAUCAGCAUGUCACGGUGAAUACGUUCCCGGGUCUUGUACACACCGCCCGUCACACCAUGGGAGCGGGUUCCGCCAGAAGUAGGUAGCCUAACCGCAAGGAGGGCGCUUACCACGGCGGGGUUCGUGACUGGGGUGAAGUCGUAACAAGGUAGCCGUAGGGGAACCUGCGGCUG
Molecule: ribosomal RNA, 1287 nt
Filed under: metagenome
Description: bacterial SSU rRNA
Rfam family: Bacterial small subunit ribosomal RNA
Source: RNAcentral